UGGGAUCGAAUUGUUGUUAACGGCACGCACAGUCCACACGGCCGAGCUCUGCCCAUGAGAGCCUCCGCCUGUCUCGGCCGCCUUCCCUCGCCGCACCUGUUUGCCGGGAGAAACCUAGUGUUCCUCCGACCUCCGCCGACCUCGCUUGCCGAUCCCAGGGUUUUCGCCUCCAGAUCGCUUGCCGGAACCGAUCCAAGCCCCAAGAACCAGCCCCACAGGGAUAGAGCUCACAAGUGGAAGAGGAAAGAGCAAGGGGUUGGAAGAGGAGAAAGAGUAGGAGGAGGAGCAGAGGAAGUGCAUUGCGAGGUCGACGUGGUCUCGUGGCGCGAGAGGCGAGUUCGGGCGUGGAUCCUCGUCAGUGCGGACGUGGAAUCGGUGUGGAGCGUCCUCACCGAUUAUGAACGACUUGCCGAUUUCGUCCCCAAUCUUGUUUAUAGUGGGCGAAUCCCUUGUCCACACAAGGGGAGGAUAUGGUUGGAGCAGCGAGGGUUGCAGCGUGCGCUGUAUUGGCACAUCGAAGCUCGGGUCGUGUUGGACCUUCAGGAGUUCCCAAACUCGGCUAAUGGGAGUGAGCUUCACUUCUCGAUGGUUGAUGGGGAUUUUAGUAAGUUUGAAGGAAAAUGGACUGUAAAAGCUGGCCCAAGAUCUUCCAUGGCAACUUUAUCAUAUGAAGUAACCGUCGUGCCCAGAUUUAACUUCCCAGCAAUAUUUCUUGAGAGGAUUAUCGGAUCCGAUCUUCCUGUGAACCUACGAGCCGUGGCCUGUAGAGCUGAGAGAAAUUUUGAAGAAAAUCAGAAGACAAUAAUGAAGAUGAAUGGCAUGAGUGCAACCUUUAGGACCUUGUAUGCUUCUUCCUUGGGUAGGUUUGGUUCUGCAUCUGAAAUUGAGACACUCCCCAACAAGUUCAAGGAAGACCAUGAUAAGCCUCCUGGUGCUAUGCUUUCUGCACCCUCAACCGAGGUUAAUGCAAAAUGGGGUGUUUAUGGAAAAGCAUGCAGACUUGAUAACCAAUGCAUGGUAGAUGAAAUUCAUCUCCGUAGAUUUGACGGUCUCUUGGAAAAUGAAGGGGCCCAUCGAUGUGUCAUGGCUAGUAUUACCAUCAAGGCACCAGUUCGAGAAGUUUGGAAUGUUUUAACUGCAUAUGAGGCAUUACCUGAGAUCGUCCCUAAUUUAGCAAUCAGUAAGAUUCUAUCAAGGGAUAAUAACAAGGUCCGUGUUUUACAGGAGGGGUGCAAAGGCCUGCUGUAUAUGGUCCUUCAUGCACGUGUGGUAUUGGAUUUGUGUGAAGACUUUGAACAUGAAAUCAAAUUUGAGCAAGUUGAAGGGGACUUUGACUCAUUUAAGGGGAAAUGGCUUCUAGAGCAGCUCGGAAAUCAGCAUACUUUAUUGAAGUAUGUUGUAGAAUCAAGAAUGCACAAGGAUACCUUCCUCUCAGAAGCUAUUUUGGAAGAGGUUAUUUAUGAAGAUCUACCAUCAAAUUUAUGUUCCAUCCGUGAUGCCGUUGAAGACAGAGUAGGUAUUAAGAAUGACCAACGUGAUUAUUCUGAUGAGCACAUUGGAUCAAAUAGUGAUCCUUUGUAUGACGACACGAGUGGGCAAAAUGAACCUUCUCCAAAUGGUAAUGCUGUGUGUACUAUAAGGCAAAGACCAAAGGUUCCCGGUUUGCAAAGAGAUGUUGAGGUCCUCAAAUCAGAGCUUGCAGCAUUUAUUUCAAAGUACGGUCAAGAUGGGUUUAUGCCAAUGAGAAAGCAGCUUCGCUUGCACGGAAGAGUGGAUAUAGAGAAGGCAAUAACACGCAUGGGUGGAUUCAGAAGGAUUGCAGACUUGAUGAACUUGUCCCUUGCUUAUAAACAACGAAAGCCAAAAGGUUACUGGGAUAACCUGGAAAAUUUACAAGAGGAGAUAAGCCGGUUCCAGAAAAACUGGGGAAUGGAUCCUGCUUACAUGCCUACAAGAAAGUCUUUCGAACGUGCAGGACGCUAUGACAUAGCUCGAGCUUUGGAAAAAUGGGGAGGGCUGCAGGAGGUUUCUCGCCUCCUAUCCCUUGAACUGAGAUACCCCAGGAGAAGAUCAGAUGCUGAACAAGAAGGGCAAAAUGAUCUCAACGCAUCCAAUGAACCAAAUGGUCAAGAAAAGAUGUCAAACAAACCACUCAUCGCACAAGAUACACACAAGUGGCUGAUGAAAUUGAAGGAUUUGGACAUCAACUGGGUGGAGUAGAGUCACCUGAUGUCUGUCGAUCUGUAUAUCCUUUCCCUCGUUUCCUGGCAUCUCUCCAGUCCAUACGAGAUUUACCGGUUAUUAGUCUCCCUACCACCGAUCAAUCAAUAACCUAUUGCAGGCCAGAUAAACUGUGCCAGGAGGCUGAUAUAUAUCUACACAAAAACUGCACAAUACCAAGUUGUGAACCAGCCAGAAACCGGCCGGUUUGCUGCAACUUCCUGGAGCAGAAUGCAAGCUAAAUCUAUGUUCAUGGUCCUCCACUACGAACAAAUGGCAGCCUUGUUUGCUGCGAGAAACAAGUGAGUCUCCAAAACAAUCUCUUUAAAUAUGAUGGAAGGACAUCAUUGGAGCCAAGUUUCCUCCGACCUCAUCUUGGACUAUGACGUGAACGCCUCACUCCUCCUUGACUGAAAUCUCCAACCUCCCAUGUGCAGGUUGGUCUCCGAAUGCUCGCUUUUUUGACAUCCUUCACACCACCAGUUGACUCCUUUUUUGUUCUUUCUUUGUUCAUCGUUUAUUCCACAGUUUGGGAUGUUAUGAAAAAUACCGACGCAAGAUUCAAUCAAACUCGGUAAGAAAGGAUUUAUUGAUCACACACAAAUUCCCAAACCUCCUUGUUUUCAUCUCUUACUUCGUUGCACAUAUGAGUUUGAUUAUCCGCAUGGAGCCCACUUGGUAUACCAAUCACUACUUCAAACAUAUCUUGUUGAUUAUUUUUUCACCCAUUUGUUACUUACUGAUAUCUUUUUUAUCUUUUUUAUUUGAAUCUUAUUAACAUCAUGGUUCA
This is an RNA transcript of Musa acuminata AAA Group (dessert banana), 3010 nucleotides long. RefSeq lists it as uncharacterized. The transcript has 12 exons. Lineage: Eukaryota; Viridiplantae; Streptophyta; Magnoliopsida; Zingiberales; Musaceae. The record is from RefSeq and is a predicted model, not a curated record.